This is a small nuclear RNA of Myotis daubentonii (Daubenton's bat), 103 nucleotides long. The record is from RefSeq and is a predicted model, not a curated record. NCBI's taxonomy places the organism in Eukaryota, Metazoa, Chordata, Mammalia, Chiroptera, Vespertilionidae.
GUGCUCGCUUCGGCAGCACAUAUACUAAAAUUGGAACGAUAGAAGAUUAGCAUGGCCUCUGCGCGAGGAUGACGCGCAAAUUAAAAAGAAAAAAGUAUUUCAU